GUGCUGCUUUACAAAAAUUGAUUGCUAAUUGGAAAUUUGGUAAGGCUGUGUGGGACUUCAGGAGCUCCACACAGUCUGACGAGACAGUGGCAGCCCACGGCACUCCAUACCCAGGAGCAACACUGUUUCUAGGUUAGCUACU
Long non-coding RNA from Etheostoma cragini (Arkansas darter), 142 nucleotides. RefSeq lists it as uncharacterized. The record is from RefSeq and is a predicted model, not a curated record. The transcript has 4 exons. Lineage: Eukaryota; Metazoa; Chordata; Actinopteri; Perciformes; Percidae.